RNAcentral lists this ribosomal RNA (1533 nucleotides) under Salmonella enterica subsp. enterica serovar Hadar str. RI_05P066. Its description in RNAcentral is "bacterial SSU rRNA". It matches the Rfam family "Bacterial small subunit ribosomal RNA". Lineage: Bacteria; Pseudomonadati; Pseudomonadota; Gammaproteobacteria; Enterobacterales; Enterobacteriaceae. The record is from RNAcentral.
AGAGUUUGAUCAUGGCUCAGAUUGAACGCUGGCGGCAGGCCUAACACAUGCAAGUCGAACGGUAACAGGAAGCAGCUUGCUGCUUCGCUGACGAGUGGCGGACGGGUGAGUAAUGUCUGGGAAACUGCCUGAUGGAGGGGGAUAACUACUGGAAACGGUGGCUAAUACCGCAUAACGUCGCAAGACCAAAGAGGGGGACCUUCGGGCCUCUUGCCAUCAGAUGUGCCCAGAUGGGAUUAGCUAGUUGGUGAGGUAACGGCUCACCAAGGCGACGAUCCCUAGCUGGUCUGAGAGGAUGACCAGCCACACUGGAACUGAGACACGGUCCAGACUCCUACGGGAGGCAGCAGUGGGGAAUAUUGCACAAUGGGCGCAAGCCUGAUGCAGCCAUGCCGCGUGUAUGAAGAAGGCCUUCGGGUUGUAAAGUACUUUCAGCGGGGAGGAAGGUGUUGUGGUUAAUAACCGCAGCAAUUGACGUUACCCGCAGAAGAAGCACCGGCUAACUCCGUGCCAGCAGCCGCGGUAAUACGGAGGGUGCAAGCGUUAAUCGGAAUUACUGGGCGUAAAGCGCACGCAGGCGGUCUGUCAAGUCGGAUGUGAAAUCCCCGGGCUCAACCUGGGAACUGCAUUCGAAACUGGCAGGCUUGAGUCUUGUAGAGGGGGGUAGAAUUCCAGGUGUAGCGGUGAAAUGCGUAGAGAUCUGGAGGAAUACCGGUGGCGAAGGCGGCCCCCUGGACAAAGACUGACGCUCAGGUGCGAAAGCGUGGGGAGCAAACAGGAUUAGAUACCCUGGUAGUCCACGCCGUAAACGAUGUCUACUUGGAGGUUGUGCCCUUGAGGCGUGGCUUCCGGAGCUAACGCGUUAAGUAGACCGCCUGGGGAGUACGGCCGCAAGGUUAAAACUCAAAUGAAUUGACGGGGGCCCGCACAAGCGGUGGAGCAUGUGGUUUAAUUCGAUGCAACGCGAAGAACCUUACCUGGUCUUGACAUCCACAGAACUUUCCAGAGAUGGAUUGGUGCCUUCGGGAACUGUGAGACAGUGCUGCAUGGCUGUCGUCAGCUCGUGUUGUGAAAUGUUGGGUUAAGUCCCGCAACGAGCGCAACCCUUAUCCUUUGUUGCCAGCGGUUAGGCCGGGAACUCAAAGGAGACUGCCAGUGAUAAACUGGAGGAAGGUGGGGAUGACGUCAAGUCAUCAUGGCCCUUACGACCAGGGCUACACACGUGCUACAAUGGCGCAUACAAAGAGAAGCGACCUCGCGAGAGCAAGCGGACCUCAUAAAGUGCGUCGUAGUCCGGAUUGGAGUCUGCAACUCGACUCCAUGAAGUCGGAAUCGCUAGUAAUCGUGGAUCAGAAUGCCACGGUGAAUACGUUCCCGGGCCUUGUACACACCGCCCGUCACACCAUGGGAGUGGGUUGCAAAAGAAGUAGGUAGCUUAACCUUCGGGAGGGCGCUUACCACUUUGUGAUUCAUGACUGGGGUGAAGUCGUAACAAGGUAACCGUAGGGGAACCUGCGGUUGGAUCACCUCCUU